Molecule: long non-coding RNA, 253 nt
Filed under: Lathyrus oleraceus (garden pea)
Lineage: Eukaryota; Viridiplantae; Streptophyta; Magnoliopsida; Fabales; Fabaceae
Description: Pisum sativum (pea) long non-coding RNA (PSAT_LNC020810)
Source: RNAcentral
AUAUUUAUGAAAGGUUAGAGAUGCAUGACAUAUGCAUGAUGGUGACACAAUAUGAUUGACUCUUUUUUUUCAAAAAGCUCUCGGUCUUUUAUUAACAAGAUUUUUCUCUUUUUUUUUUUUUUUUUUUUUUUCCAAAACUCUCUGGAUAACACUUGAGAAAACUUUCCGUUGGGGAGAAAGGGUGGAAGAUGUUGGGAGAAAUGAUUUGCCAGGUGGAACCUGGAAUUUGAUGUGGAUUGACCCAUCAUGCACC